RNAcentral lists this ribosomal RNA (1128 nucleotides) under Anaerovirgula sp. VNs22. Its description in RNAcentral is "bacterial SSU rRNA". It matches the Rfam family "Bacterial small subunit ribosomal RNA", at positions 354 to 1491 of the family's 1533-position model. The record is from RNAcentral. Lineage: Bacteria; Bacillati; Bacillota; Clostridia; Peptostreptococcales; Natronincolaceae.
GUGGGGGGUAUUGCACAAUGGGGGGAAACCCUGAUGCAGCGACGCCGCGUGAGUCGAAGAAGGCCUUCGGGUCGUAAAGCUCUGUUUCGAGGGAAGAAAAAUGACGGUACCUCGGGAGAAAGCCCCGGCUAACUACGUGCCAGCAGCCGCGGUAAUACGUAGGGGGCAAGCGUUAUCCGGAAUCACUGGGCGUAAAGGGUGCGUAGGCGGCCAAUAAAGUCAGAGGUGAAAGGCUACGGCUCAACCGUAGUAAGCCUUUGAAACUUAUUGGCUUGAGUGCAGGAGAGGAGAGUGGAAUUCCUAGUGUAGCGGUGAAAUGCGUAGAUAUUAGGAGGAACACCAGUGGCGAAGGCGACUCUCUGGACUGUAACUGACGCUGAGGCACGAAAGCGUGGGGAGCGAACAGGAUUAGAUACCCUGGUAGUCCACGCCGUAAACGAUGAGUGCUAGGUGUUGGGGGUCAAACCUCAGUGCCGCAGCUAACGCAUUAAGCACUCCGCCUGGGGAGUACGCACGCAAGUGUGAAACUCAAAGGAAUUGACGGGGACCCGCACAAGCAGCGGAGCAUGUGGUUUAAUUCGAAGCAACGCGAAGAACCUUACCUGGACUUGACAUCCUUCUGACCGGUGAGUAAUGUCACCUUUCCCUUCGGGGACAGAAGAGACAGGUGGUGCAUGGUUGUCGUCAGCUCGUGUCGUGAGAUGUUGGGUUAAGUCCCGCAACGAGCGCAACCCUUGUCUUUAGUUGCCAGCAUUUGGGAUGGGCACUCUAGAGAGACUGCCGGGGACAACUCGGAGGAAGGUGGGGAUGACGUCAAAUCAUCAUGCCCCUUAUGUUCAGGGCUACACACGUGCUACAAUGGCCGAUACAAAGGGCAGCGAAGGAGCAAUCCGGAGCAAAUCUCAUAAAGUCGGUCUCAGUUCGGAUUGUGGGCUGAAACUCGCCCACAUGAAGUCGGAGUUGCUAGUAAUCGCGAAUCAGAAUGUCGCGGUGAAUGCGUUCCCGGGUCUUGUACACACCGCCCGUCACACCAUGGGAGUCGGAAGCGCCCGAAGCCAGCUGCUCAACCAGCAAUGGCAGAGAGUUGUCGCAAGGUGAAGGCCGCAUGGGCUGGGGUGCAAGUCGUAC